Non-coding RNA from Rhodocollybia butyracea, 95 nucleotides. The record is from the annotation of a GenBank genome assembly. NCBI's taxonomy places the organism in Eukaryota, Fungi, Basidiomycota, Agaricomycetes, Agaricales, Omphalotaceae.
UCCUUCUUAGCUCAGUUGGUAGAGCGCGUCACUAGUAUGUAGGGUAGCUCCAGCGUAUGAUGACGAGGUCAGUCGUUCAAGUCGGCUAGAAGGAA